GGUCCGACACCGCCGAGUCGCUCGCCGAGCGAGCCGGGGACCCAGGUUUCCGGGGUGAAUCCGCAGCCACUGCGGUAGGGCGCCGACCUUCCCGCCCGAACCCGUCAGCUAACCCGGUAGGCGGUCAGGAAGAAGGA
This 137-nucleotide small RNA is filed under the name Micromonospora avicenniae. RNAcentral describes it as "c-di-AMP sequence". It matches the Rfam family "c-di-AMP riboswitch aptamer (ydaO/yuaA leader)". Rfam says of the family: This family represents a conserved RNA structure found upstream of the ydaO and yuaA genes in Bacillus subtilis and related genes in other bacteria. The ydaO/yuaA element is thought to act as a genetic "off" switch for the ydaO and yuaA genes in its native state. Lineage: Bacteria; Bacillati; Actinomycetota; Actinomycetes; Micromonosporales; Micromonosporaceae. The record is from Rfam by way of RNAcentral.